AGAAUUAUUAAGAUGGAUACUACAAAGACACAGAAUACUGUGCUAGCUUUUACAGAUGAUACCGUUCUUCCUGUAAGUAUGGUGAUAAAUGCAGUUAGGGAACUUGCUAAUGAAAGAGCCGAGCAGUGUGAUCCUCAAGUUAUCACUCAAGCAUCAUCUCUAAGUAAGCUGCCAGUGGAUUCUUCAUCUGUGGAUAUAGUCAUUUCCAUAAGUAGGUCACUCCAAUUUCCCAGUGACCUGUUGUUAGGCGAAAUUUCAAGAGUGUUGAAGCCUGGUGGGACUGUCCUGAUUUACAAGAGUCUUCAAUCUGUUGCAGAGGAAACAGACAAGGCAAUACUUACUCUUGAGCGCAAGUUGCUGUUAGCGGGGUUCUUAGAAGCACAGGGUCUCCAAUUGAAAGCUGGACUAUCUGGAGUCAUUCAGUCUUUUGGGGUUAAGGCCAAGAAGCCUUCUUGGAAGAUUGGGUCAUCCUUUACCAUUAAGAAGCCCAUAACAAGUUCAGUUAAGGUUCCGAUUGAUGAUGAUUUGAUUGAUGAAGAUAGCCUCUUGACUGAAGAGGAUUUGAAAAAACCUCAAUUACCACCUGUUGGUGACUGCGAAGUAGGAAGUACAAGGAAAGCGUGCAAAAACUGCACAUGUGGGAGAGCUGAGACAGAGGAGAAAGUAAAGUUGGGACUGACAAUGGAUCAGCUGAGCAAUCCUCAAUCAGCAUGUGGCAAUUGUGGUCUAGGGGAUGCUUUUCGCUGCAGCACAUGCCCUUACAAAGGUCUCCAGCCAUUCAAACUUGGCGAGAAGGUAUCACUGUCUGGAAACUUCCUUGCUGCAGAUUUUUGAAGGCGAAGAGAUUGGAGUUGGUUUACAACUUGGCCAAAGGAUGUU
This 879-nucleotide unclassified non-coding RNA is filed under the name Hevea brasiliensis (rubber tree). Lineage: Eukaryota; Viridiplantae; Streptophyta; Magnoliopsida; Malpighiales; Euphorbiaceae. The record is from RNAcentral.